This is a long non-coding RNA of Impatiens glandulifera, 454 nucleotides long. RefSeq lists it as uncharacterized. NCBI's taxonomy places the organism in Eukaryota, Viridiplantae, Streptophyta, Magnoliopsida, Ericales, Balsaminaceae. The transcript is spliced from 3 exons. The record is from RefSeq and is a predicted model, not a curated record.
CCCCGCAUCACGGUGCCGCCCCGCAUCAAGGUGCCGCCCGGUAUCGGCAUCAAGGUGCCGCCAACUCCGAAGAAGUCGCCCCCUAAAUAUGCCCCCGGAAUAGUGAAGAAAGCCUAUUGCUCGUACAUAUGCGAAAAGUGUUGUAAAACAAAGGCGUGCACCGGUUUCUGCGAAAAUUGCUGCGAGAAUCAUAGAAUCUGCUCUUGUAACAACAACUAGAAGAUCCAGCAAGGCGGAUCUAAGUGCCCUUUGAUUUAAGUAAUCAAGUUCCUUUUGUGUCUACUUUGUGUGUGUUUUCGUCUCAACAAUUUACUUUCUUGUUUCUGUUUCUCAUGAUUUAAGUGUACCUGUUUAUGUAUCUCAUUACUGUCAUCAUCAGAUUUGUUGUUCAUGUUGUGUUAGAUCACAACUUCUUUGACAAAUCAAUAAAAUUCCACUUCCAAUUUCAUCAUAA